Molecule: ribosomal RNA, 470 nt
Filed under: uncultured bacterium
Lineage: Bacteria
Description: bacterial SSU rRNA
Rfam family: Bacterial small subunit ribosomal RNA
Source: RNAcentral
GAUGAACGCUAGCGGCAGGCUUAAUACAUGCAAGUCGAGGGGCAGCAUGAGUGUAGCAAUACAUUUGAUGGCGACCGGCAAACGGGUGCGGAACACGUACACAACCUUCCUAUAAGUGGGGAAUAGCCCAGAGAAAUUUGGAUUAAUACCCCGUAACAUAAUGAUGUGGCAUCACAUUAUUAUUAUAGCUACGGCGCUUUUUGAUGGGUGUGCGGCUGAUUAGAUAGUUGGCGGGUAACGGCCCACCAAGUCUACGAUCAGUAGCUGAUGUGAGAGCAUGAUCAGCCACACGGGCACUGAGACACGGGCCCGACUCCUACGGGAGGCAGCAGUAAGGAAUAUUGGUCAAUGGACGCAAGUCUGAACCAGCCAUGCCGCGUGAAGGAUUAAGGUCCUCUGGAUUGUAAACUGCUUUGAUAGGGAACAAAUGCCACUUGCGAGUGGAGCUGAGUGUACCUAUAGAAUAAGCA